This 1302-nucleotide long non-coding RNA is filed under the name Musa acuminata (dwarf banana). Its description in RNAcentral is "long non-coding RNA (MACU_LNC000040)". Lineage: Eukaryota; Viridiplantae; Streptophyta; Magnoliopsida; Zingiberales; Musaceae. The record is from RNAcentral.
CGCAAGCUCACCUAGUUCGGGUUGGCGAGCCAAUCAACUUGAUGGGUAAGUUUCUUGGGGCUAGCCGGGUGUACCUUUCUUAUGCGCGCGUCCCUUCUUUGACCGUUUCGCCCACCCGUGUGACCCAACGGGUCACGUGGGAAGAUAGAUCCCGCCGGGGCUCGCCGUCGAACUGGUAGCGGUCGGAUGCUCCGCGGUCAAAAGCUGCUCUGUCUUCUUCGUCACUGUUCCAUGGAGGAGAGGACAGGGACAUUAAACUACCAAACAAUACAAACCGCCACCGAAAGAAAGAGUGCUCUCUGGGGCCGAUUGCCAAAAGUUACUGACCUUUUCUGCGGCUUCGAUUGGUCAAUGAUGCUAAUGUCUCAAAAGCUGGGUCCAAAGCAUUUGUUGUUCUGCUGCGGUAGAACUUUCAUGGAGGGCGCCAACGUGGAAGUCCUGCUUAAGACUUCUUCUCAUCAAUAUUUAAUGAUCGUGGUGGUCUUCGAUUGAUCUGUCGGCGCAUGCCAUCGAAUUCUUUGCCUGUGAGGCUUCGUUGAUGGUUCGCGAGAGUUGCUGGAUUCGGACGCUCCGCCAUUCACCACGCUCGAAGUCUAAGCAUUCGCGCGCAUUCCCUGCUUCGAUUAUUGAUCCCCGUAGCGGUGGCGCUUUUCCGUUGCCUGUGUCUGCAACAUCUUUUCUCCGUUCUGAAUGAGAGAGGAACGUUGCGUGCAGGUCAUUUUCUUUCUUAUCUGUGCUUUGCGUUGCCUACGACAAUUUGCAUCUCUCAGCUCUCAGCGACAGGAAAUGGCAGCGAAUCCGCCUCGGAUCCACGAUGGCGGCUUGUCGAGGACGGAGUCACGACGACGACGGGAGGGGGCCCGCCGGGCCCACGCGCCAACCGCCGAUGAUUUGUGUUUUCGGUGGGGCUCGACGUGGCGGUGACGCCGCUACCACCAUCGUCUGGGCUUUGACUCGGAGAUGACGCGGAGCCAACUCCUGCGACGUCGAAAGAGUCAACACCGUCAGAACAUUUACAGACGUUGAACUCACUAAUUUUGUUGUUGAAUUGUACGUCAAAUUAAAUUAUGAUGCACUAAAUCCAAUGCUUGUAUGAUAAUAUAUCAAAUGCAAAAUCUUUGUAGCCACAUAUGUCAGGGCAUCAGCUGUGUACAAUUGGGUUGUGAUGUUUUGAUCAGCUACGCUGACAGGUAGGGGAGGGAAUAUUGCAUUCCAAGAAUCCAUGAUGAAUUGGUUGCUAAGCUCUCACAGUCAUGGCCAGCUCACAUAGCAGUCGCACGGCAAAUGGAGACAAUAGCAAGG